UGACUGCCUCCUCUGGAUUCCUGGUGUAGAAGUUUCCAUUGCUGGAAGCAUCAAGAGCCAUCUGGUACUGCACCGCGAUGCGUCUGUAGAAAGUACUGAGCAGUUGUACUUCAUUGAAUCCAUGGUGUGAACAGUCUCUCUGAUAAGACUUGAAUCUGAUCCAAGAGCCCCUGAAUGAUUUUGCAGGCUCUUGAGUGAAUGUAGCAAUCUUGCUCCUCAAGUCUUCAGUACGCGCUCAUCAAAGAAAUUGUAUAAGAAUGCAUUCUUGAUGUCGCUCCAGGAUUUAAGAGAUCCUAGUUGUAACUGCUUGAGCCAAUGCAGAGCUUCUCCAGCAAG
RNAcentral lists this long non-coding RNA (336 nucleotides) under Brassica napus (rape). RNAcentral describes it as "long non-coding RNA (BNAP_LNC015202)". The record is from RNAcentral. Lineage: Eukaryota; Viridiplantae; Streptophyta; Magnoliopsida; Brassicales; Brassicaceae.